This 597-nucleotide ribosomal RNA is filed under the name Triticum aestivum (bread wheat). RNAcentral's name for it is "partial small subunit ribosomal RNA". The record is from RNAcentral. Lineage: Eukaryota; Viridiplantae; Streptophyta; Magnoliopsida; Poales; Poaceae.
AUGAAGAUACCUCUUAAGAAUAAAAUCUUUGCAUGGUAUCUUCGUCGUGGAGUCAUUCUGACUAAAGAUAACCUUAUUAAGAGGAAUUGGCAUGGAAGUACGCAAUGUGUAUUUUGUCCGCAUGAUGAGACACUAAAACAUUUGUUCUUCCAAUGUAAAUUGGCUCGUUCUAUAUGGCCAGUCAUCCAAAUAACUUCUGGCUUGUACCCUCCUUGUAGUGUUGCUAAUAUAUUUGGCAACUGGUUACAUGGGAUUGAUCAAAAGUUCGGAAUUCUACUUAGGAUGGGAGCGCUUGCUGUGAUUUGGUCGCUUUGGCUAUGUAGAAAUGAUAAGAUUUUUAACGAUAAAAGUACUUCGCUUAUGCAGGUUAUCUACAGAUGUACUGGGACACUUCGUUUAUGGUCCUCUCUACAACGAGUGGAAAUCGAGACCUGUUUACGGAGGUGUGUACACGAUUGGAGGCUACGGCGAAGGAUACUUUUACACAACAUGGGUGGCAGCAUGAUCUUAGGAUUGGGCCACCGACGGUUUAGGCGCUAUACAAAUAUACAUUUUUCUUUGUAUUUCGCCUUCCUAUUUUAUUUUCGCUUGUCGUGA